This 327-nucleotide ribosomal RNA is filed under the name uncultured eukaryote. Its description in RNAcentral is "partial 18S ribosomal RNA". It matches the Rfam family "Eukaryotic small subunit ribosomal RNA", at positions 1470 to 1796 of the family's 1831-position model. The record is from RNAcentral.
CCCUUAGAUGUCCUGGGCCGCACGCGCGUUACACUGAUGCAUUCAACGAGCAUAUAACCUUGGCCGAGAGGCCUGGGUAAUCUUGUUAACAUGCAUCGUGAUAGGGAUAGAUUAUUGCAAUUAUUAAUCUUGAACGAGGAAUUCCUAGUAAUCGCAGUUCAUCAAACUGCAAUGAUUACGUCCCUGCCCUUUGUACACACCGCCCGUCGCACCUACCGAUUGAAUGGUCCGGUGAGGACUCGGGAUUGUGGUUUAGCUCCUUCAUUGGGGCCUGACUGCGAGAACUUGUCUGAACCUUAUCAUUUAGAGGAAGGUGAAGUCGUAACA